GACGAACGCUGGCGGCGUGCUUAACACAUGCAAGUCGAACGGAAAGGCCCUGCUUUUGCGGGUUUCUCGAGUGGCGAACGGGUGAGUAAAACAUGAGUAACCUGCCCUUGACUUUGUGAUAACUUCAGGAAAAUGGGGCUAAUACCGGAUAGGAUCUCCUGCUGCAUGGUGGGGGUUGGAAAGAUUCGGCGGUUGGGGAUGGACUCGCGGCUUAUCAGCUUGAUGGUGGGGUAGUGGCUUACCAGGGCUUUGAAGGGUAGCCUGCCUGAGAGGGUGACCGGCCACAAUGGGCCUGAGGUACGGCCCAGACUCCAACGUGAGGCAGCGGUGGGGAAUAUUGCACAAUGGGCGGAAGCCUGAUGCAGAAACGUCGCGUGCGGGAUGACGGCCUUCGGGUUGUAAACAGCUUUCGCCUGUGACGAAGCGUGAGUGACGGUAAUGGGUAAAGAAGCACCGGCUAACUACGUG
This 468-nucleotide ribosomal RNA is filed under the name uncultured bacterium. Its description in RNAcentral is "partial 16S ribosomal RNA". It matches the Rfam family "Bacterial small subunit ribosomal RNA", at positions 28 to 507 of the family's 1533-position model. The record is from RNAcentral.